GGAAAAUGCAAAUACGGCAUCUUUAUUUUUUAUAUUUCAGAAGAUAGAGGGGUCCUUUUUUAUCACAGGUGCCAUCGGUGAAAAAGACUGCCCAAUAUGCGAAGGCUGCGCAUUAGCGCAAAAUGGCAGGAAUGAUUUCACUACGAGCCAUCAGCUCCGAUGACGAUGCCGAUGACGACGUCGUACCAAAAGAAUUGCUCAUUGAAGAGCAAAAAAAAAAUGCAACGCUCUGCCGCAGACUGGCACUUCUAAGAGAGAAAGACGAGCUGCAGGCACGGCAUGAUCGCCUGCAGGAUGACCUUCUCAACAGACUCGGUACAACUGGGAAGUAGUGUCUGGGUGGAAAAAAGGAGGUGGGAGCUGCUGCUGGGGCGUCACCGGGACACCCUCUUCUGCAAGGGAGUUGCGAAGCUGGUGUGGGCCGGCACUUAGAGGUCGGAGCGUCACAGGGGCUCCUUGUCGGUGGUACCUCAAGGAGGGCAACGCCAACGAGAAGCCGGCAUUGAGCCCUCAUAAAUUGGACGCUGUAGGAUACACAUGUCGCAAGUUCAGCAGAAGCACUGUGCAACUCAAGAGCAGUUCGUCCUUUAUGCGAGCAGAAAAAUGAAGACUGUUUUU
Rhipicephalus sanguineus (brown dog tick) is the source of this 618-nucleotide long non-coding RNA. RefSeq lists it as uncharacterized. NCBI's taxonomy places the organism in Eukaryota, Metazoa, Arthropoda, Arachnida, Ixodida, Ixodidae. The transcript is spliced from 3 exons. The record is from RefSeq and is a predicted model, not a curated record.